Molecule: ribosomal RNA, 1126 nt
Filed under: Vibrio parahaemolyticus VIP4-0430
Lineage: Bacteria; Pseudomonadati; Pseudomonadota; Gammaproteobacteria; Vibrionales; Vibrionaceae
Description: bacterial SSU rRNA
Rfam family: Bacterial small subunit ribosomal RNA
Source: RNAcentral
AGAGUUUGAUCAUGGCUCAGAUUGAACGCUGGCGGCAGGCCUAACACAUGCAAGUCGAGCGGAAACGAGUUAUCUGAACCUUCGGGGAACGAUAACGGCGUCGAGCGGCGGACGGGUGAGUAAUGCCUAGGAAAUUGCCCUGAUGUGGGGGAUAACCAUUGGAAACGAUGGCUAAUACCGCAUGAUGCCUACGGGCCAAAGAGGGGGACCUUCGGGCCUCUCGCGUCAGGAUAUGCCUAGGUGGGAUUAGCUAGUUGGUGAGGUAAGGGCUCACCAAGGCGACGAUCCCUAGCUGGUCUGAGAGGAUGAUCAGCCACACUGGAACUGAGACACGGUCCAGACUCCUACGGGAGGCAGCAGUGGGGAAUAUUGCACAAUGGGCGCAAGCCUGAUGCAGCCAUGCCGCGUGUGUGAAGAAGGCCUUCGGGUUGUAAAGCACUUUCAGUCGUGAGGAAGGUAGUGUAGUUAAUAGCUGCAUUAUUUGACGUUAGCGACAGAAGAAGCACCGGCUAACUCCGUGCCAGCAGCCGCGGUAAUACGGAGGGUGCGAGCGUUAAUCGGAAUUACUGGGCGUAAAGCGCAUGCAGGUGGUUUGUUAAGUCAGAUGUGAAAGCCCGGGGCUCAACCUCGGAAUUGCAUUUGAAACUGGCAGACUAGAGUACUGUAGAGGGGGGUAGAAUUUCAGGUGUAGCGGUGAAAUGCGUAGAGAUCUGAAGGAAUACCGGUGGCGAAGGCGGCCCCCUGGACAGAUACUGACACUCAGAUGCGAAAGCGUGGGGAGCAAACAGGAUUAGAUACCCUGGUAGUCCACGCCGUAAACGAUGUCUACUUGGAGGUUGUGGCCUUGAGCCGUGGCUUUCGGAGCUAACGCGUUAAGUAGACCGCCUGGGGAGUACGGUCGCAAGAUUAAAACUCAAAUGAAUUGACGGGGGCCCGCACAAGCGGUGGAGCAUGUGGUUUAAUUCGAUGCAACGCGAAGAACCUUACCUACUCUUGACAUCCAGAGAACUUUCCAGAGAUGGAUUGGUGCCUUCGGGAACUCUGAGACAGGUGCUGCAUGGCUGUCGUCAGCUCGUGUUGUGAAAUGUUGGGUUAAGUCCCGCAACGAGCGCAACCCUUAUCCUUG